Molecule: non-coding RNA, 1057 nt
Organism: Osmia lignaria (orchard mason bee)
Lineage: Eukaryota; Metazoa; Arthropoda; Insecta; Hymenoptera; Megachilidae
Source: RefSeq, a predicted model, not a curated record
UAAAUAUUUGAAAUUUCUAAUCAGAUAAUUCAAAAAAUUCUUAAUCGUAUGUUAUCUACAAUACAUACGAGUCACGUGACAGUAAAUACAUAUGUCAAACAAGACACAGUGUAUAGGAGUCCUGAGAAUAGAUAUUAGAUUGUUUUCUAUUUUACGACAGCUUGAUUAUGAUAACAAGAUGAUAACUUUUAGAAAUUCCAAUACGCAACAACUCGAAAAGAACGGGUGUUGCCAUCGUCUCGAAACAGUCAGUCCCUUGAUAAUUCAGAUACCCUGAAAUCAAGCGAAAUCAAAGGGAUUUCAAUCACAGGAUUAUCCUUGCCGAAGAUAUGCAGCCGUUUCGGUGCACGGGCGACACUUUCGUCAAAAAUAAACUUUUCGAAUGCUGAAUGCAACAUCGUUCUCUUCUAGAAAGCACUUUGACAGAGCCCCAUGGGUACAUUACUAGGAUUGCCGCCACCAAUUGAACUCCCCCGACUCUCGGAGAGGUAGCCCAACCGGGCCAGGCCGACUCCGUUACUCCCUUAUGUCUGCAAACAGAGACGCCCGAGGCAACACCGCCGUUCAAACACCCAAUCGUUUGGGCCGAUUCACAACGAUAAAGCAACUUGCAAAUUCUCCAUUGUUAACGUCAGUUGACUCAGCCGCGCAUUGGCUGCGCUUGAUCUGCAUAAUAGGCAUUAACCCGGAAGGAUUCAAACUUCGCUGUCGGGAUAACUUUUCAACCUAGCCUGAUUAAGUCUCUUCGUCCUCGAAACUUUGUGACGGUACGCGUUGUUACUUACGAAAGAGGGUGAUUAACUAUUCUGACGGAACUUUGCCUCAACUUCCGUGGACGAAGAGUAUUUUCUGGGUUGUUCAGCUGGGUCCGUUCGCGACAACGAUCGAACUGAUUAUUAUCAUUUUUUUUCCAUUUGUGCGAAGAUAUGUGGGUGCUUGUACUAGAAGUUUACCUAUUAGAAAUUGUACGACCUGGGGGAAUUCACUCUAACUGAGUCGGCAUUAGUCGGUGUUAGUUUGCAAGAGUAAUACAUUUCAAAAAUUUUUAAUUUUUAAA